This 253-nucleotide ribosomal RNA is filed under the name uncultured bacterium. RNAcentral's name for it is "partial 16S ribosomal RNA". It matches the Rfam family "Archaeal small subunit ribosomal RNA", at positions 474 to 727 of the family's 1478-position model. The record is from RNAcentral.
UACCAGCACCCCGAGUGGUCUGGACGUUUAUUGGGCCUAAAGCAUCCGUAGCCGGUUCUACAAGUCUUCCGUUAAAUCCACCUGCUUAACAGAUGGGCUGCGGAAGAUACUAUAGAGCUAGGAGGCGGGAGAGGCAAGCGGUACUCGAUGGGUAGGGGUAAAAUCCGUUGAUCCAUUGAAGACCACCAGUGGCGAAGGCGGCUUGCCAGAACGCGAUCGACGGUGAGGGAUGAAAGCUGGGGGAGCAAACCGG